AACUUCCAUUAUGUGAAAGCAGAUGAAACCAAAGCCUUGGCCCACACAGCAAACCUUUGGGUAGCAACGUGUUCUAGAAAAAUGGAGCCUGAAGAGUCCAGAUUGUUUUUUCUUGAAAUAUCAAGCAAGUCUGAAAUGAUUACUACCCAUGAGAUAUUUUUUUUAAUGGUGUUAGGUUUGGGGGUGUGUUAGAUUGUUUUGCAUUGCUAUAAAUGAAUACCUGAGGCUGAGGAAUUGGUAAAGAAAAGAGGUUUAUUUGGCUCACAUUUCUGCCUGGCGCUGGCAUAGUUGGCUUCUAGUGAGGCUUCAUGAAGCUUUCACUCAUGGUAGAAGGCAAGGUGGGAGCAGGCAUGUCACAUGGCAAAAGCGGGGAGCAAGAGAGAGGGAAGGAGGUGCCAGGCUCUUUUAAAUUCUAAACUAACAGCAAGAACUCACUCAUUCCCAUGAGGAAGGCACCAGGCCAUUCAUGAGGGAUCCUCCCUCAUGACCCAAACAGCCACCACGAGGCCCUACCUCCAAUUCUGGGGAUCACAUUCCAACAUAAGAUUCAGAGGGUGAAAACAUUCAAAGUCUACCAGGAGGUGAUGAAAGUGAUAUGACAACGUGAGGUUUAUGUUACCUGGAAGGUAGCGGGAGGCAGAGCAGAUGGUGGGAAGAAGAAAAGUGUAGCAACUACCUAGUCCUCGGCAUCAAAGAGCCCUCACUCAUUUAUAGAAGAAGACUAAAGAGCUUGGAAGUAGGGAGCAACACAAAAUGGGGAGUAGACAAAGUAGUAGGUAUCAGCACAGAGAUAAAAGACUCUGAACAGAGAGGACGGAUCCAAGGGGGACAGCCUGGAAGCUGGGGACCCAGCUGGAGGCCAGCACAAUCGCCUGGGUGAGAGGUGAGCCCUCCCUCCUCCAGAGGUGAGCCCUUCAGAGGAAGAGAUGAGAAAAAGAGACCCAGGACUCAUUACCGGCGGCUCUGGCUUGCUGUUCCAUGGGCAGCCCUUUCUACCUGUGAUCAAUACAUGCCUAUUUAGCAGCAUACUCACUCUGUCUCUCAUUCUAGACCGUGCUUCUGCCCAGAGUUAAUCAGGUUUUGAAUGUCGGCAUCCUGUCAUUUCAUCAUCUGCAGAUUCAGUGACCAGAGAGGAGGAAACACAGGGAAGCUUUAUAUUAAUAAAGGUGUCGCGUUGAAUAUUCCUAAGGAACAGUCAAAAGUAAGCAGUUCGUGUGCUUCUUUUCUGGUGACAAUAAUAGAUUGGGACCCAUGCCUUCCCAGAGCUCCCGAUAAGCAAUUGGAUCCAGUCUCCACUCCAGAACCUGAAUGGACUGUUUGCUCAAUACAGCUACUGCCAGCCAGUCAGCUUCAUGGGACAUGUGCCAAGAGGUCUUCCAUUCCAUUCUAUCUUGAAUAAACAAAUUAGAGUCCCAACAAAAACUCUUCCAAUGAGCCCUUUACUGAGCUAAAUUCAACAUACAUCAUAAUCUAGGAGGAAGCACCAGAAUGGAAAACUACUUUAAGUCACAGAAGCUAAAGGAGCAAUUGUAAGUGUUUUCUACAAAGUAUAUAUGCAGGAUCAGCAGGCAUGGGAAAUGCACACCAGCCCCUGAGGGAUUCUGGGCUGCCAGUGCAUGAAGGCAGACUCAAGACUGUGGAUUCUGGAAGAGGAAUCCGCUUGAGAGAGCAUCUAAUUCAAAAUGCAUCCAUAUAUGGCUUAAAAGUCAUCCAGGUUGUCAUAUCAGUGUAAUGAUUAUUCACUAGAACCAAGAGCGUUUAUAUUUUGAAGAUCAGAACAAGAUUCCCAGCAAAACAGAAACUAGGGUUCUCAGCGCGUUCAUGGAGGAGGAUUACAUGGGUCAGGCUGUUCUCUGGAGCAGUAGUUGUUUAUCUCCCUCUGCCUUCUCUCUCACCGAAGUGUACGUCACCACCCCAUGGAAGAUUCAAUGGACAUGAAGACAAGCCCCCUGUGGCCCCAGAAUCAUCUUUUGGUUGUGAACUAAAGGCCGACAAAGAUGAUCAGUUUAGGGUGGAUAACGAUGAAAAUGAGCUCCGGUUAUCUUUAAGAACGGUCAGUUUAAGGGCUGUGUAAAAGAUGAAUUGCACAUUGUUGAAGCAGAGGCAAUGAAUUAUGAAGGCAGUCCUACUGAAGUAACACUGGCAACUUUGAAAAUGUCAGUACAGCCAACGGUUUCCCUUGGGGGCUUUGAAAUCCCAUCAGCCAUGGGAUUACAGUUGGAGUGUGGAUCAAGGCCAGUGCAUAUUAGUGGGCAGCACUUAGCAGCUGUGGAGGAAGAGGCAGAGUGAGAAGACGAAGAGGAGGGGGAUGUGAAACUCAGGUACUUAAUGUGUCUGGAAGGUAAUCCUCCCCUGGAGAUAGAGGCAAGUUUCCACAGAAAAAUGUAAAACUUGCUGCUGCUGAUGGUGAUAAUUUUGAUGAGGAAAUUGAAGAAAAAGCUCCAGUGAGGAAAUCUAUAUAAGACACUCCAGCCAAAAAUGCACCAAAAUCAAACCAGAAUGGAAAAGACUCAAAACUAUCAAGACCAAGAUCAAAAGUUCAUGAAUACUUCAAAAAACAGGAAAAAACUCCUAAAAAUCCAAAAAGGACCUAGUUCUAAAGAAGACAUUAAAGCUAAAAUGCAAGCAAGUAUAGAAAAAGCACAUUGAACAGUCCUGGACAAUACUGCAAAAUUAAGUCCAAAGAUGGGGACAGAGGAAAGAGACAAAUACAGUCCAUGCUGAGUAUCAUCAGCCAUCCAGACUGAAGUCUUCUGUUUUAAUCCGAAUCCCCUUUCCUGAUAUGCCAGCCAUGCUCCUUCCAGGCUGGAAACAAACUCACUCUUGAUGUCCUAAAGCACUUUCUUUUGACAGCUGUGAUUCUGUGAACCUAGCCCCUUGCUUUCUGUUACUUGUGCAUUUGCCUCACCUCUCUGACCAUGUUUUAAUCACUUUUGGGUCUCCUUGGCUGCUCAAUAAAUAUUUGAAUGAAUCAAAAAAGAAAA
Long non-coding RNA from Rhinopithecus roxellana (golden snub-nosed monkey), 2984 nucleotides. RefSeq lists it as uncharacterized. The transcript has 4 exons. NCBI's taxonomy places the organism in Eukaryota, Metazoa, Chordata, Mammalia, Primates, Cercopithecidae. The record is from RefSeq and is a predicted model, not a curated record.